AGAGUUUGAUCCUGGCUCAGAUUGAACGCUGGCGGCAGGCCUAACACAUGCAAGUCGAGCGGUAACAGAAAGUAGCUUGCUACUUUGCUGACGAGCGGCGGACGGGUGAGUAAUGCUUGGGAACAUGCCUUGAGGUGGGGGACAACAGUUGGAAACGACUGCUAAUACCGCAUAAUGUCUACGGACCAAAGGGGGCUUCGGCUCUCGCCUUUAGAUUGGCCCAAGUGGGAUUAGCUAGUUGGUGAGGUAAUGGCUCACCAAGGCGACGAUCCCUAGCUGGUUUGAGAGGAUGAUCAGCCACACUGGGACUGAGACACGGCCCAGACUCCUACGGGAGGCAGCAGUGGGGAAUAUUGCACAAUGGGCGCAAGCCUGAUGCAGCCAUGCCGCGUGUGUGAAGAAGGCCUUCGGGUUGUAAAGCACUUUCAGUCAGGAGGAAAGGUUAACGGUUAAUACCCGUUAGCUGUGACGUUACUGACAGAAGAAGCACCGGCUAACUCCGUGCCAGCAGCCGCGGUAAU
Molecule: ribosomal RNA, 521 nt
Filed under: uncultured bacterium
Lineage: Bacteria
Description: bacterial SSU rRNA
Rfam family: Bacterial small subunit ribosomal RNA
Source: RNAcentral